This is a long non-coding RNA of Acinonyx jubatus (cheetah), 420 nucleotides long. RefSeq lists it as uncharacterized. NCBI's taxonomy places the organism in Eukaryota, Metazoa, Chordata, Mammalia, Carnivora, Felidae. The record is from RefSeq and is a predicted model, not a curated record. The transcript is spliced from 3 exons.
GGGGAGCGCGCCCUCGCCCUGGCCCCUCCGAGCCUCCGACUAGUCCUUGCAACUUCGGGGCCUGGCCACCGGGAAAAGUUGGCCCGUGCCAGCUGGCCGACGGGGAUCAAACAGGCCUCAGAUGAGCUGUAAAGCAGCUGAGGGCAUCUGCUCUCAAGAGGCAUCUCCAGGAGAGACACAGAAACCCAAACAGAUGUGACUGUGAUGAGUAAAAAUGAGAGAAUUCAGACAGCCUAUAUCAGGAGCAGCCUCAGUACCUUCUGCGCAGGAAGGAAUUGGCCGUCUUUCUGAAACUCCGAAAAUGAGAGAUUUCAAACACCCGUCCUUCGUGAAGACACCUCGCAGGAUCGGGGCAGGAGAACCUGCUGAAUUCAGAAGAAAUGGUAUCCUCUAGAUUCCAAGGAGGGGAUGAAGGACAGG